This 429-nucleotide ribosomal RNA is filed under the name Pseudomonadota bacterium. RNAcentral describes it as "Proteobacteria bacterium partial 16S ribosomal RNA". It matches the Rfam family "Bacterial small subunit ribosomal RNA", at positions 355 to 776 of the family's 1533-position model. Lineage: Bacteria; Pseudomonadati; Pseudomonadota. The record is from RNAcentral.
UGGGGAAUAUUGGACAAUGGGCGAAAGCCUGAUCCAGCCAUGCCGCGUGUGUGAAGAAGGUCUUCGGAUUGUAAAGCACUUUAAGUUGGGAGGAAGGGCAGUAAGCGAAUACCUUGCUGUUUUGACGUUACCGACAGAAUAAGCACCGGCUAACUCUGUGCCAGCAGCCGCGGUAAUACAGAGGGUGCAAGCGUUAAUCGGAAUUACUGGGCGUAAAGCGCGCGUAGGUGGUUCGUUAAGUUGAAUGUGAAAGCCCCGGGCUCAACCUGGGAACAGCAUUCGAUACUGGUUAGCUAGAGUGUGGGAGAGGAUGGUAGAAUUCCAGGUGUAGCGGUGAAAUGCGUAGAGAUCUGGAGGAAUACCGAUGGCGAAGGCAGCCAUCUGGCCUAACACUGACGCUGAGGUACGAAAGCAUGGGGAGCAAACAGG